CUUUGCUGGUAUUCCUCCAGGGAUGAGAGAGUGGCCAGUUCAGACUACUGUGGGAGAAGCGGCUUCCAUAUCUUGCAUCAAUGCUUUGUUGACGUUCUUUUAAUCCUGCCAAGUGAAUUGUCUUACAGAAUAAGCGAGAGAAGCUUACAGAAUGUAUCUCUGCCUGCUGCACCACGGGCUAACCAGACUUUCCCACCGACUACAUGAAAGGAGUGCAUGUUUGAGGCAUGUCAUCAGCACGAGGCCAAGGCUCAGAUCGAACCAUCACUGGAGACCCGCGGUGACCUGUAUCUACCAGCCGUUUUGUGAACACUGAUGGGAAGGCAGUGGUCGGUCACACACGCACUGUCAGCCAGCAACGAUGAUCAGAUUUUCCAGAGAGAACCAGCUAGAACCUAGAGACCAG
Mustela lutreola (European mink) is the source of this 406-nucleotide long non-coding RNA. RefSeq lists it as uncharacterized. The transcript has 3 exons. The record is from RefSeq and is a predicted model, not a curated record. Lineage: Eukaryota; Metazoa; Chordata; Mammalia; Carnivora; Mustelidae.